RNAcentral lists this long non-coding RNA (2843 nucleotides) under Sus scrofa (pig). Its description in RNAcentral is "lncRNA (ENSSSCG00065067660.1)". Lineage: Eukaryota; Metazoa; Chordata; Mammalia; Artiodactyla; Suidae. The record is from RNAcentral.
AUGCAAAAUAAGAAAUUCAAGGAGAAUGUGUCUUCAUGUGCUUUAAGAGUAACUACUUAGAUAAAAAAAUGACUUUAUCUUCCAUACUGAUGAAUAUAUGGAUAUGUCAAAGAAGUAAGCUUUGGCUCAUCACUAUGAAAGAUAUUUCUAAUAAUCUUGGCUGCCCAACAGUGCAAUGCACAGGCUUUGGAGGAGGAUGACUGAUGGAACCCUCUUAGCUUGGGUUCAAGCACUGGCUCUGAGAUUGGACUCGAUGAAUAACACCCUCUCCCUCCUCUCCCCUCCUCCUCAUUCUCUCCCCUUCCUAUCUCUGUUGGUCCUCUCGCUUAGCCUCAGAAGAACAAAGCUACCUGGACUUUUACCAAGUGGGAAUCAAACCUUAGGCCCCUUUGUCUGCAAGAUGCAAACUGUCAAUUUAACCCAAGAUGUUCAUAACUUUUUUGAGUGAUUAAUAGGGAGGGAAAAUAGCUUUCAUUCCUCAGGGCUACCAAUGGCCAUGUGGUAAAUGACCACAUCUGGGCACCAAAUGGCAUCCUACCCUCUGAAGGCUACUUCUCCCUGGUAUAGCCCUAGGUCAAGGUGGAUUGCUUUUGCUUUGAGAGCAGGAAUGUGAGGCACGUCCUCCAUGAAAGCCCUUGACAGAUGUUAUGUUUUCUUUCAUGACUGCUUUUGUUAAGUGGCUUAUGAGCAGGGUCCUUGGAAGUCAAGCCAGGCUUGGUCAGGGCAGCUAAUCAAGAGAUGCUGAGGCUUCUAGGAUGAAGGGGGGGGGGAGUCCAGAGGGUAAGAUGGAGGGAGUGAGCUAUCCCAGAAGCUGGGGCAGUAUAAAGGAGCUUCAAGACCAAAAAGAACCUCAUGUGCCAAAUAGUUUGACUCCUUGAUGUUACAGAUGAGGAAACUGAAGGUCAGACAGACAGGACUUCCUGGAAGUCCUGCAGCAAAUCAGCCCCCGCCCCCAUCAGCACUAGGAUUAGGGUGGGGUGAGGUGAGUGAGGCACCUACAUGACUGUGCAUGAUCCCUUCUGAAAUUUUGCAUCCUAGGUACCUCAUCCUAGUCUCAGCCUGGAACUCUCUACCACCCAGGUAGAGAACUCCCUGCCACACUCAGAGUCUCUUCAGAGAGCUUCUAUGCUGGGAAGGUGCCAUCUUUUGUUGCAUAUGAUCCUGCCCCAAUUGGAUCAAAGAAGAACCCCUGCCCAUAGUGGCCAACAUCCUGGCAUCUUGAGCUAGUCUGGUGUGAGCAGCUAUCCCAUAAGCCCUAAAAUGAUUUAACUGGACAAUCAGAUUCUCUUUUGGGAAUUUGAAAGGGCAAUAAGAGGAGACAGUUUUUAGUGGCUGAGAGAUAAAGUCAGUUUUUAGUGGCAUUCUUGCUCUUCAGUUCUAUUACUUUUAUUGUUCUCUAUCCAUUCUUGUGAUAUUCAUGCCUGGGAAGGGAGAGAGGGUUAACCAGGUCUAUGCGUCUUCCAAUUUCUGCCUGUUACUAAUGUGUUCCUCCCUUGUGCCACUGUUCAGACUCCUCACCGCCGUGGGGGCCAUCUACCUCCCCAUCAUCCAUUUAAAAAUAACUGAACAGCUCCUUUUCUUUUCAUUGGGCACAAAGGCAAUUAACACUUGAUCCCUAAUCUUAGGUGUUUGCACCUUAGCAGGAGAGGAAGAUGCAAAAGAGAUGCUUAUGGUAACACUUGAUGAGUAUAAUGAUGGAGAAAAGCCACAUAUUGCUGGGGCACCAGGGAAAGGUGCAUAACUCAUUUGGCAGAAACAGGAGUGAGUGCAAAGAAGACUUCCUGGAGGAGGUAUUGCCCGAACUGAGUUCUAAAGCAAUAAGCAUGAUUUUGCUUUAAGCUGUGAAGAGUAGAGAAAGAGCAUUCUAGGCUUGAUAAGGUAGGAGCUAAGGACCCUCAUGGUAGGUUUGGAGCAACUGUGAGCAGUUAUACAGUUGUAUGAAUUUCAAGUCAGGUAGGGCAGAGCAAGGAGGAGAUGAAUCCUCAGAAGCCAAGCUGAUGACCUUGGACUUCAUAGUCCAGGUGAGCUCUCACUCGCUGGUAAUCCAAAGCUAUGCUCAGUGCCAGGACAAACUUUACUUGGCCCAUGGAAGAUUGGGCAGAAUUCUGAGUUUCAAUGCCUUUAGACAGCUAUGCUCUGGUCCACCAUAAUCCCCACUGCUCCCCAUUGCCUACACAGAGUCCUGGGACUCAUUCCUGUUUCCUCCUGCCUUCUGUGGGCUCCAAGGACAUGAUCCCUGCUCUGGAUGGUAGAGUCUCUGAGGAGUGUGGGUGGGGCACGCAUGGUCUUUACACAGAUUUCCUUGGUAAGGAGGCAGGAAAUGGAUUUGAGGGGUGCUCUGGUGGCAGAGGAAGUCCUUUGGAGGCUUGGGGAAAUGUGGGAGAGGGUGAUAGGCCUGGAACCAGCAGUUCGGUGUCCGGCACCAGACAGAAGGCUGCAAAAGUCCCUACCCUCCUGAGCAUCUCCUAUGCUUACCACGCAUCAGCUCUUGCCAAGAUCCCAAUGCUCCUGUGGAGCUACUGCUUGUCCCACUCCCACCACUCCAUGAAGGCUGACAAAGGUUAGGCAGCUCCCCUGAAGGAUCCUUGCUAAGUGGUUGGUCUGUAAUCCAGACUCAGUGUUACAUGGGUGCCAAGCUGGGACUCACUCCUCUCUAGUUCACCUCCCACGCUGCCCGGUGGGUUCAUCUGGACAUCAUUCAGAGCCCAGAGGCUGCAACAGCAGUGUGUUUGCAAGUUGCUGAGCAGAGAAUUAAUAUGGACUUCAGGAGCCAUGUGACUGUGAAAAAAAGAACUGAGGAUAAACUACCCAAAAGAACAAGCUGAAAUGUGUGUUCAGAGUAU